GCAGGACGAGCGUCGAGGAGGCGCGCCGCUGGAAAGAAGGCGCCCAUGAAGCCGGCGCCCCGUACGGCGACGACGACGACGUAGCAGCUCCGCCUGCACUGCGUCGGCCCAUCUCGGCAACACCUCUCCACGGCGCCACCACUGACCUCCGCGAGCCGUCCGAUUUGAAGUGCAUCAAGUUUAUUCAGCUGCUUUCAGAUUUGAAGUACGUCAAGUUUAGUCAGCCCCCGGGCACCGAUGACCAUUCUGCUGUUGUUUGGCCUCAAGUAUAACAUGAAGUCAGUCAAGGGCUGCGAGAGGCUUUACUCUUGAGGAGCUGAAGAUAUUUCAAUGUGAUUGGAUCUGACCUUGAGGGAAGAUUACGUGAAGCUCCCAAGCCAGAACUACGAGAGCAUGCUUGGAUAUCUGGGGCAAGACAGUGCAGUAUUAGGAGUCAUUACAUUGUUAAAGGUGUCUUUUUCUUGUACUAUGUCUGUAGCAUUAUCUUUGAAAAAGACCAUAAUUCAGUCUACUACUGCAUUCCAAGCUGUGCAUGUUGUGCCAAAUGUAUUAGCCCUUCAUUGCAGAAGCGUACUGUAAGAUGGAACUGAGAUAUAUGCU
Panicum virgatum (switchgrass) is the source of this 600-nucleotide long non-coding RNA. RefSeq lists it as uncharacterized. The transcript has 3 exons. Lineage: Eukaryota; Viridiplantae; Streptophyta; Magnoliopsida; Poales; Poaceae. The record is from RefSeq and is a predicted model, not a curated record.